CGUGGCUGCCAGAAAACAACAUUUCAUUUGAUUUUAAUUAGUUGUAUUCACGGCCCUCAAUCCCAUAAAAUAAGCGUAACUACCACCACCUUGUGUACAAACAUCUCCCUGCAGAGCGCGUGAGGAUCAGCCGGGAUAGAAACAUGACACCUAACAGCGUUAGCAGACCGCCGAGGAGCUGCUGGCCAAAUUGCAUAUGGGUCAUUUUCAACUCUCA
Cyprinus carpio carpio is the source of this 217-nucleotide long non-coding RNA. Lineage: Eukaryota; Metazoa; Chordata; Actinopteri; Cypriniformes; Cyprinidae. The record is from Ensembl.